GAUGAACGCUGGCGGCGUGCUUAACACAUGCAAGUCGAACGAAGCACUUUAUUUGAUUUCCUUCGGGACUGAUGAUUUUGUGACUGAGUGGCGGACGGGUGAGUAACGCGGGGGUAACCUGCCUUGUACAGGGGGAUAACAGUUGGAAACGGCUGCUAAUACCGCAUAAGCGCACAGCAUCGCAUGAUGCAGUGUGAAAAACUCCGGUGGUAUAUGAUGGACCCGCGUUGGAUUAGCCGGGGGGUGAGGUAACGGCCCACCAAGGCGACGAUCCAAAGCCGGCCUGGGGGGGCGGCCCGCCCCAUUGGGACUGAGACCCGGCCCGAACUCCUGCGGGAGGCAGCAGUGGGGAAUAUGGCACAAUGGGCGUAAGCCUGAUGCAGCGGCGCCGCGUGGGCGAAGAAGUAUUUCGGUAUGUAAAUCUCUAUCAGCAGGGAAGAUAAUGCCGGUACCUGACUAAGAAGCACCGGCUACAUCCGU
RNAcentral lists this ribosomal RNA (480 nucleotides) under uncultured bacterium. Its description in RNAcentral is "partial 16S ribosomal RNA". It matches the Rfam family "Bacterial small subunit ribosomal RNA", at positions 28 to 506 of the family's 1533-position model. The record is from RNAcentral.